GCCCUAGUAGCUUAAACAUAAAGCGCCGGUCUUGUAAUCCGGAAACUGAAGGUUAAAAUCCUCCCUAGUGCC
Molecule: transfer RNA, 72 nt
Filed under: Cranoglanis bouderius
Lineage: Eukaryota; Metazoa; Chordata; Actinopteri; Siluriformes; Cranoglanididae
Description: tRNA-Thr
Rfam family: tRNA
About the family: Transfer RNA (tRNA) molecules are approximately 80 nucleotides in length. Their secondary structure includes four short double-helical elements and three loops (D, anti-codon, and T loops).
Source: RNAcentral